RNAcentral lists this transfer RNA (69 nucleotides) under Marmota monax (woodchuck). Its description in RNAcentral is "tRNA.Val". Lineage: Eukaryota; Metazoa; Chordata; Mammalia; Rodentia; Sciuridae. The record is from RNAcentral.
GGCAUGUAGCUCAGUGAUGAAGCACUUGCCUAACAUGCAUGAGGCCCGGGGUUUGAUUCCCCAGCACCA